GAUGAAGAACGUAGCGAAAUGCGAUAAGUAAUGUGAAUUGCAGAAUCCAGUGAAUCAUCGAAUCUUUGAACGCACAUUGCGCCCGCCAGCAUUCUGGCGGGCAUGCCUGUUCGAGCGUCAUUUCAACCCUCGACCUCCCUUUGGGGAAGUCGGCGUUGGGGACCGGCAGCACACCGCCGGCCCUGAAAUGGAGUGGCGGCCCGUCCGCGGCGACCUCUGCGUAGUAAUCCAACUCGCACCGGAACCCCGACGCGGCCACGCCGUAAAACACCCAACCUCUGAACGUUGACCUCGAAUCAGGUAGGACUACCCGCUGAACUUAAGCAUAUCAAUAAGCGGAGGA
This 343-nucleotide unclassified non-coding RNA is filed under the name soil metagenome. RNAcentral describes it as "partial contains 5.8S ribosomal RNA, internal transcribed spacer 2, and large subunit ribosomal RNA". The stretch from base 1 to 120 matches the Rfam family "5.8S ribosomal RNA", at positions 35 to 154 of the family's 154-position model. The record is from RNAcentral.